GAAGAUUUCAUAAAGCUUCAAAGGUACGUUUCCGAUUAACUCUAAUUUUUUUAUAAUUAGGGUAGUUUAUACAUGUUAAUCUCUAAAGACUUUAGAUGUAUUUAGAGUAAUUUUUUAUCCAUAAUUCUGCUUGUAUGCUUUCCAUCACCCAGAAAAAGGCACCCAACCUUAUUCAUACACUAUAGACCGUUUGGGCUAUAUAUUUGAACUUGAUAUACGUUUAUGUCUCUAUAUAAAGUUCAAGUCUACAUUAGAUAGCCUCGGGACGUUAGUUUAUUGGAUUCAAGAUUAUAGUAUUCAAUUUACAAUAAUAAGUCCUCAAUAACCACUUUAUUGAAUAUAAUAUAAUUUAAACUACAAACUAUGAGUUUUAUGAUAUACAUUCCAACAAACUCCUACUUGGACUAAAACUCCUUAUAUUCAUGUUGUCUUUGUAGUUUCUAAUGGAGUCGACAAAGUUCAUGAAAUUUCCUUUAAAAAAGCUAAUCAGGGUCAUCAAAAUACACUGACUGUUUUUAGAAAUGAAUGAUUUGACCAUGGUUCAAGCAACAAAGAAUUCAAAGGUGAAGGAUUACCAGUUGGUUGUUUAUGAUUGUACAAAAAAUUAUGUUAUAUGUAUUAUGAUGGUAUUUACACUGG
RNAcentral lists this long non-coding RNA (639 nucleotides) under Cucumis sativus (cucumber). RNAcentral describes it as "long non-coding RNA (CSAT_LNC001455)". Lineage: Eukaryota; Viridiplantae; Streptophyta; Magnoliopsida; Cucurbitales; Cucurbitaceae. The record is from RNAcentral.